GCCCGCCUGGCUCAGUCGGUAGAGCGUGGGACUCUCGAUCCCAGGGUUGUGAGUUCGAGCCCCACGUUGGGUG
RNAcentral lists this transfer RNA (73 nucleotides) under Ailuropoda melanoleuca (giant panda). It matches the Rfam family "tRNA". Rfam says of the family: Transfer RNA (tRNA) molecules are approximately 80 nucleotides in length. Their secondary structure includes four short double-helical elements and three loops (D, anti-codon, and T loops). Further hydrogen bonds mediate the characteristic L-shaped molecular structure. tRNAs have two regions of fundamental functional importance: the anti-codon, which is responsible for specific mRNA codon recognition, and the 3' end, to which the tRNAs corresponding amino acid is attached (by aminoacyl-tRNA synthetases). tRNAs cope with the degeneracy of the genetic code in two manners: having more than one tRNA (with a specific anti-codon) for a particular amino acid; and 'wobble' base-pairing, i.e. permitting non-standard base-pairing at the 3rd anti-codon position. Lineage: Eukaryota; Metazoa; Chordata; Mammalia; Carnivora; Ursidae. The record is from Rfam by way of RNAcentral.